GAGUUUGAUCUUGGCUCAGAUUGAACGCUGGCGGCAGGCCUAACACAUGCAAGUCGAGCGGUAGAGAGAAGCUUGCUUCUCUUGAGAGGCGGCGGACGGGUGAGUAAUGCCUAGGAAUCUGCCUGGUAGUGGGGGAUAACGCUCGGAAACGGACGCUAAUACCGCAUACGUCCUACGGGAGAAAGCAGGGGACCUUCGGGCCUUGCGCUAUCAGAUGAGCCUAGGUCGGAUUAGCUAGUUGGUGAGGUAAUGGCUCACCAAGGCGACGAUCCGUAACUGGUCUGAGAGGAUGAUCAGUCACACUGGAACUGAGACACGGUCCAGACUCCUACGGGAGGCAGCAGUGGGGAAUAUUGGACAAUGGGCGAAAGCCUGAUCCAGCCAUGCCGCGUGUGUGAAGAAGGUCUUCGGAUUGUAAAGCACUUUAAGUUGGGAGGAAGGGCAGUAAAUUAAUACUUUAGCUGUUUUGACGUUACCGACAGAAUAAGCACCGGCUAAC
RNAcentral lists this ribosomal RNA (499 nucleotides) under uncultured bacterium. RNAcentral's name for it is "bacterial SSU rRNA". It matches the Rfam family "Bacterial small subunit ribosomal RNA", at positions 9 to 501 of the family's 1533-position model. The record is from RNAcentral.